UGAGGAAUAUUGGUCAAUGGGCGUGAGCCUGAACCAGCCAAGUAGCGUGCAGGAAGACGGCCCUAUGGGUUGUAAACUGCUUUUAUAUGGGAAUAAAGUGAGGGACGUGUCCCUUAUUGCAUGUACCAUACGAAUAAGGACCGGCUAAUUCCGUGCCAGCAGCCGCGGUAAUACGGAAGGUCCAGGCGUUAUCCGGAUUUAUUGGGUUUAAAGGGAGCGUAGGCUGUUUGUUAAGCGUGUUGUGAAAUGUAAGAGCUCAACUUUUAGAUUGCAGCGCGAACUGGCAGACUUGAGUGCGCACAACGUAGGCGGAAUUCAUGGUGUAGCGGUGAAAUGCUUAGAUAUCAUGACGAACUCCGAUUGCGAAGGCAGCUUACGGGAGCGCAACUGACGCUAAAGCUCGAAGGUGCGGGUAUCGAACAGG
Molecule: ribosomal RNA, 424 nt
Filed under: Verrucomicrobiota bacterium
Lineage: Bacteria; Pseudomonadati; Verrucomicrobiota
Description: Verrucomicrobia bacterium partial 16S ribosomal RNA
Rfam family: Bacterial small subunit ribosomal RNA
Source: RNAcentral